CGUAGGGGGCUAGCGUUGUCCGGAUUUAUUGGGCGUGAAGAGCGUGUAGGCGGCCAGGUAGGUCUGGUGUGAAAACUCGAGGCUUAACCUCGAGAUGUCAUCGGAAACCAUCUGGCUAGAGUCCGGAAGAGGAAAGUGGAAUUCCUGGUGUAGCGGUGAAAUGCGCAGAUAUCAGGAAGAACACCAAUGGCGAAAGCAGCUUUCUGGGACGGUACUGACGCUGAGACGCGAAAGCGUGGGGAGCGAACAGGAUUAGAUACCCUGGUAGUCCACGCCGUAAACGAUGGGCGCUAGGUGUGGGCGGUGUCGACUCCGUCCGUGCCGAAGCUAACGCAUUAAGCGCCCCGCCUGGGGAGUACGGCCGCAAGGCUA
RNAcentral lists this ribosomal RNA (372 nucleotides) under uncultured organism. RNAcentral's name for it is "bacterial SSU rRNA". It matches the Rfam family "Bacterial small subunit ribosomal RNA", at positions 526 to 896 of the family's 1533-position model. The record is from RNAcentral.